Molecule: long non-coding RNA, 353 nt
Filed under: Solanum tuberosum (potato)
Lineage: Eukaryota; Viridiplantae; Streptophyta; Magnoliopsida; Solanales; Solanaceae
Description: long non-coding RNA (STUB_LNC006537)
Source: RNAcentral
ACGGGUAUAAAUCCGGGAAGAAUAAAUCUGGUUGUAAAACAAUGCAUAUUAUAUAUUGUUGUCAGAAAUUGUAGCAAAAGAAAUAUACAUCACCCAAAAAUCAAAACAUGUAAUUAAAAGUCUAAACUGCAAUAAUUAAUACAAGUUCUAUAUUUUCCUCUCUCUUCAAUUUAUAUUCCGUAUUCAAGUGUGAUUUUUUUUAUCAUAUUUAAGCUAAAACUUAAGAAAUCCUUAUUAAAGAUUUUAUGAUCUCAUAUUAUCUAUAUAUAUCAACAAAUUUCAGAAUUAAAUAUACUUAUUUCAUCAACAAAACAGUAUUUUAGAUAUAGAAAAACACACCAAAAACAAGUUCA